UCCACGCCGUAAACGAUGUCUACUAGCCGUUGGGAGACUUGAUCUCUUAGUGGCGCAGCUAACGCAAUAAGUAGACCGCCUGGGGAGUACGGUCGCAAGAUUAAAACUCAAAUGAAUUGACGGGGGCCCGCACAAGCGGUGGAGCAUGUGGUUUAAUUCGAGGCAACGCGAAGAACCUUACCAAGACUUGACAUCCUAGAAAUUUACCAGAGAUGGUUUAGUGCCUUCGGGAA
RNAcentral lists this ribosomal RNA (233 nucleotides) under uncultured bacterium. Its description in RNAcentral is "partial 16S ribosomal RNA". It matches the Rfam family "Bacterial small subunit ribosomal RNA", at positions 794 to 1026 of the family's 1533-position model. The record is from RNAcentral.